Molecule: ribosomal RNA, 1437 nt
Filed under: Triticum aestivum (bread wheat)
Lineage: Eukaryota; Viridiplantae; Streptophyta; Magnoliopsida; Poales; Poaceae
Description: partial small subunit ribosomal RNA
Source: RNAcentral
UGGUGUGUGUAGAAAGGAUGUGCGGAAUUUUCCUUUAGGAGAAAGGGAAAGUACGAAAGUGUUGCUGUGUACAACGAGAACGAGAAUGGGAACGGGCUAGGGGAAAGAGUGAGCUUUUAACGACGGCGGCCAUCGAGGGUAGUCGAACUAAGGAACUAAGUCACGGAACUCGAACAAGCAGGAGUGGACGUCGGACGGGACGUCGAACUAAGCAAACACGCCGGUGUACCGCUGGAAGCUGCUGCCGACCAAACAGAGGACUAGAGGAGCAUGCGGAGGAGAUAGAGGCGGAUCCUACCAUUUGCCGCUACCUCCCCAUCGUCCCGGGUUCCACAUCGACGCGUUCCCUCCUCCGCUCUAGUCCGCACCUAAAGUAGAGGGCGUCGACGAAACUAGGUAGAAAUGAUACUCCUACCACAUCUACAAAAGACGGGGAUUUCGCGGCCGGUCUGCGUAGGAGGUGUACCCGUUGUAAGAAGUUUCAGACUUCACACAAAGGGAUGUCGUUCUUUAUUCCUCCGUGUAUUGAGCCUUGCUAACCUGCACCCCUCGUUUUUUUCUUUAUAAUGGAACAACAAAUGGCGUUUAUCAUCAUUUCCAGGUUGGGGAUCCAUUUAUAGCGGGAACUACUUCUCCAACUUAAGACCGGUGAAUAUCCCAGACAGAUACCGCACAUAGAGUUCAGGGUUGAGAGUGGACUACCCAGAAGAUUAGAGGGAGAUCGACCGACUGUCGUCUUAAGUAUACAAUUAUUGUUACGACUUUCUCGUUAGGUUGGUAGGUUCCGUAUACCAAAACCUCUAGUCGUCAAACGUUUAUGCCUUCCUUUUUAAUGGAAUAUCGUCGAUCGACAACCCCACUUUCGUUUAACAUUUAAAAAACUAAGUCAAUACAAACGUGCACCAACAUGGUGUAGUUUUGACUAUAUUGGAAGGAUUAGAAUACUGUUAAGAAAGCGGAAUAAAAAAAAACAUCGACUCGCUGACGAAUAUAAGAAAAGGGACCGCCGGUAUGUACGGAUAGAGAACACAUAAGUAACUAGUUAAAAACAACUCGUAUAAUCGAUGGUUAGACAGGACGAAUCACCAGCUAGGAAAAUUAUUCCCUGUUUCAUCUUCAUUGUGACGUCACUUCUUGUUAUCGUAUGGAUCGGUAGUUCCGGCCUAAGGACAUACGUGUAACUCGUCGUCUCUCUCUUGUUUAUACAAACUCCAACUCCUACGUACCACUCGGGCUCCCCUCCGAGCUAGUUAGAGCUGUCAAUGGGGUAGCAGCCCGUACCGAAGGUACCCCCGUACCUCUACUACAAAAAAAAAGAAAUCCUUUACUAAUUAAUAAUAAGCAAAAAUCACUUUUCUAUACCUUCACUCUAUACAUGCACUACCUACACUCCAAAAAAAAAAACUCCCCAUACACUCCAACAAAAAAAUACACUUU